RNAcentral lists this ribosomal RNA (253 nucleotides) under uncultured Sphingomonadales bacterium. RNAcentral's name for it is "partial 16S ribosomal RNA". It matches the Rfam family "Bacterial small subunit ribosomal RNA", at positions 524 to 776 of the family's 1533-position model. Lineage: Bacteria; Pseudomonadati; Pseudomonadota; Alphaproteobacteria; Sphingomonadales. The record is from RNAcentral.
UACGGAGGGAGCUAGCGUUGUUCGGAAUUACUGGGCGUAAAGCGCACGUAGGCGGCUUUUUAAGUCAGGGGUGAAAUCCCGGGGCUCAACCCCGGAACUGCCUUUGAAACUGGAAGGCUAGAAUCCUGGAGAGGUGAGUGGAAUUCCGAGUGUAGAGGUGAAAUUCGUAGAUAUUCGGAAGAACACCAGUGGCGAAGGCGACUCACUGGACAGGUAUUGACGCUGAGGUGCGAAAGCGUGGGGAGCAAACAGG